CGAGAAGUAAGCAAGGGCACACGGGGGAUGCCUAGGCUCUCAGAGGCGAAGAAGGACGCGAUAAGCUGCGAAAAGCGACGGGGAAGGGCACAUACCUGGUGAUCCGUCGAUAUCCGAAUGGGGCAACCCCUUAUCUUGAAGAGAUAAGAUCUCCUUCGUUAGGAAGGUAGAGGCAAACGCCGGGAACUGAAACAUCUAAGUACCGGCAGGAACAGAAAAUAACAAUGAUUCCCCAAGUAGUGGCGAGCGAACGGGGACGAGCCCAAACCGGGUUGGUUACGGCCAGCGCGGGGUUGUAGGACUGCAACAUCUGAUUGAGUACUUUUAGCUGAAUGACGUGGGAAAGUCAACCAGAGACGGUGAGAGUCCGGUAAGCGAACUGAGUAUUCACGGUAGCAGACUCCUGAGUAAGGCGGGACCAGCGAAAUCCCGUCUGAAUCCGGCGGUACCAUCCGCCAAGGCUACAUACUCCUGAGAG
Molecule: ribosomal RNA, 478 nt
Filed under: Hymenobacter norwichensis
Lineage: Bacteria; Pseudomonadati; Bacteroidota; Cytophagia; Cytophagales; Hymenobacteraceae
Also listed under: 1 other name
Description: partial 23S ribosomal RNA
Rfam family: Bacterial large subunit ribosomal RNA
Source: RNAcentral